CUACGGGAUGCAGCAGUGGGGAAUAUUGCGCAAUGGGCGAAAGCCUGACGCAGCAACGCCGCGUGAGGGGUGAAGGCCUUCGGGUUGUAAACCUCUUUCAGCAGGGAAGAAGCGAAAGUGACGGUACCUGCAGAAGAAGCACCGGCUAACUACGUGCCAGCAGCCGCGGUAAUACGUAGGGUGCAAGCGUUGUCCGGAUUUAUUGGGCGUAAAGAGCUCGUAGGCGGUUAGUCACGUCGGAUGUGAAAAUCCAAGGCUUAACCUUGGACCUGCAUUCGAUACGGGCUGACUAGAGUGUUUAGGGGAGACUGGAACUCCUGGUGUAGCGGUGAAAUGCGCAGAUAUCAGGAAGAACACCGAUGGCGAAGGCAGGUCUCUGGGCAACUACUGACGCUGAGGAGCGAAAGCGUGGGGAGCAAACAGGAUUAGAUACCCCUGUAGUC
This 443-nucleotide ribosomal RNA is filed under the name uncultured bacterium. Its description in RNAcentral is "partial 16S ribosomal RNA". It matches the Rfam family "Bacterial small subunit ribosomal RNA", at positions 339 to 795 of the family's 1533-position model. The record is from RNAcentral.